UUCGAUUGUGCCAGCAGCCGCGGUAAUACGAAGGGGGCUAGCGUUGUUCGGAAUUACUGGGCGUAAAGCGAGCGUAGGUUGCUCGAUAAGUCAGUGGUGAAAGCCCAGAGCUCAACUCUGGAACUGCCAUUGAAACUGUCGAGCUGGAAUCUCAGAGGGGGUAGCGGAAUUCCAAAUGUAGGGGUGAAAUUCGUAGAUAUUUGGAGGAACACCGGUGGCGAAGGCGGCUACCUGGAUGAGUAUUGACACUGAGGCUCGAAAGCGUGGGGAUCAAACAGGAUUAGAUACCCUGGUAGUCCACGCUGUAAACGAUGGAUGCUAGUUGUUGGGGGGUUCCCUCUCAGUGACGUAGCUAACGCGUUAAGCAUCCCGCCCUGGGGAGUACGGUCGCAAG
Molecule: ribosomal RNA, 394 nt
Filed under: uncultured bacterium
Lineage: Bacteria
Description: bacterial SSU rRNA
Rfam family: Bacterial small subunit ribosomal RNA
Source: RNAcentral